This 2924-nucleotide ribosomal RNA is filed under the name Klebsiella pneumoniae. RNAcentral's name for it is "23S ribosomal RNA". It matches the Rfam family "Bacterial large subunit ribosomal RNA". Lineage: Bacteria; Pseudomonadati; Pseudomonadota; Gammaproteobacteria; Enterobacterales; Enterobacteriaceae. The record is from RNAcentral.
GGGUUGUGAGGUUAAGCGACUAAGCGUACACGGUGGAUGCCCUGGCAGUCAGAGGCGAUGAAGGACGUGCUAAUCUGCGAAAAGCGUCGGUAAGGUGAUAUGAACCGUUAUAACCGGCGAUGUCCGAAUGGGGAAACCCAGUGUGAUUCGUCACACUAUCGUUAACUGAAUACAUAGGUUAACGAGGCGAACCGGGGGAACUGAAACAUCUAAGUACCCCGAGGAAAAGAAAUCAACCGAGAUUCCCCCAGUAGCGGCGAGCGAACGGGGAGCAGCCCAGAGUCUGAAUCAGCUUGUGUGUUAGUGGAACGGUCUGGAAAGUCCGACGGUACAGGGUGAUAGUCCCGUACACCAAAAUGCACAGGCUGUGAACUCGAAGAGUAGGGCGGGACACGUGGUAUCCUGUCUGAAUAUGGGGGGACCAUCCUCCAAGGCUAAAUACUCCUGACUGACCGAUAGUGAACCAGUACCGUGAGGGAAAGGCGAAAAGAACCCCGGCGAGGGGAGUGAAAAAGAACCUGAAACCGUGUACGUACAAGCAGUGGGAGCACCUUCGGGUGUGACUGCGUACCUUUUGUAUAAUGGGUCAGCGACUUAUAUUCUGUAGCAAGGUUAACCGUAUAGGGGAGCCGCAGGGAAACCGAGUCUUAACUGGGCGUUAAGUUGCAGGGUAUAGACCCGAAACCCGGUGAUCUAGCCAUGGGCAGGUUGAAGGUUGGGUAACACUAACUGGAGGACCGAACCGACUAAUGUUGAAAAAUUAGCGGAUGACUUGUGGCUGGGGGUGAAAGGCCAAUCAAACCGGGAGAUAGCUGGUUCUCCCCGAAAGCUAUUUAGGUAGCGCCUCGUGAACUCAUCUUCGGGGGUAGAGCACUGUUUCGGCUAGGGGGUCAUCCCGACUUACCAACCCGAUGCAAACUACGAAUACCGAAGAAUGUUAUCACGGGAGACACACGGCGGGUGCUAACGUCCGUCGUGAAGAGGGAAACAACCCAGACCGCCAGCUAAGGUCCCAAAGUCAUGGUUAAGUGGGAAACGAUGUGGGAAGGCACAGACAGCCAGGAUGUUGGCUUAGAAGCAGCCAUCAUUUAAAGAAAGCGUAAUAGCUCACUGGUCGAGUCGGCCUGCGCGGAAGAUGUAACGGGGCUAAACCAUGCACCGAAGCUGCGGCAGCGACACUAUGUGUUGUUGGGUAGGGGAGCGUUCUGUAAGCCUGCGAAGGUGACCUGUGAGGGUUGCUGGAGGUAUCAGAAGUGCGAAUGCUGACAUAAGUAACGAUAAAGCGGGUGAAAAGCCCGCUCGCCGGAAGACCAAGGGUUCCUGUCCAACGUUAAUCGGGGCAGGGUGAGUCGACCCCUAAGGCGAGGCCGAAAGGCGUAGUCGAUGGGAAACAGGUUAAUAUUCCUGUACUUGGUGUUACUGCGAAGGGGGGACGGAGAAGGCUAUGUUAGCCGGGCGACGGUUGUCCCGGUUUAAGCAUGUAGGCUGAUUGUCCAGGCAAAUCCGGAUAAUCAAGGCUGAGGUGUGAUGACGAGGCACUACGGUGCUGAAGUAACAAAUGCCCUGCUUCCGGUGAAAAGCCUCUAAGCAUCAGGUAACAUCAAAUCGUACCCCAAACCGACACAGGUGGUCAGGUAGAGAAUACCAAGGCGCUUGAGAGAACUCGGGUGAAGGAACUAGGCAAAAUGGUGCCGUAACUUCGGGAGAAGGCACGCUGGUGUGUAGGUGAAGCCCCUGCGGGUGGAGCUGAGACCAGUCGAAGAUACCAGCUGGCUGCAACUGUUUAUUAAAAACACAGCACUGUGCAAACACGAAAGUGGACGUAUACGGUGUGACGCCUGCCCGGUGCCGGAAGGUUAAUUGAUGGGGUUAUCCGUAAGGAGAAGCUCUUGAUCGAAGCCCCGGUAAACGGCGGCCGUAACUAUAACGGUCCUAAGGUAGCGAAAUUCCUUGUCGGGUAAGUUCCGACCUGCACGAAUGGCGUAAUGAUGGCCAGGCUGUCUCCACCCGAGACUCAGUGAAAUUGAACUCGCUGUGAAGAUGCAGUGUACCCGCGGCAAGACGGAAAGACCCCGUGAACCUUUACUAUAGCUUGACACUGAACAUUGAGCCUUGAUGUGUAGGAUAGGUGGGAGGCUUUGAAGCGUGGACGCCAGUCUGCGUGGAGCCAACCUUGAAAUACCACCCUUUAAUGUUUGAUGUUCUAACGUUGGCCCCUUACCGGGGUUGCGGACAGUGUCUGGUGGGUAGUUUGACUGGGGCGGUCUCCUCCCAAAGCGUAACGGAGGAGCACGAAGGUUAGCUAAUCCUGGUCGGACAUCAGGAGGUUAGUGCAAUGGCAUAAGCUAGCUUGACUGCGAGCGUGACGGCGCGAGCAGGUGCGAAAGCAGGUCAUAGUGAUCCGGUGGUUCUGAAUGGAAGGGCCAUCGCUCAACGGAUAAAAGGUACUCCGGGGAUAACAGGCUGAUACCGCCCAAGAGUUCAUAUCGACGGCGGUGUUUGGCACCUCGAUGUCGGCUCAUCACAUCCUGGGGCUGAAGUAGGUCCCAAGGGUAUGGCUGUUCGCCAUUUAAAGUGGUACGCGAGCUGGGUUUAGAACGUCGUGAGACAGUUCGGUCCCUAUCUGCCGUGGGCGCUGGAGAAUUGAGGGGGGCUGCUCCUAGUACGAGAGGACCGGAGUGGACGCAUCACUGGUGUUCGGGUUGUCAUGCCAAUGGCACUGCCCGGUAGCUAAAUGCGGAAGAGAUAAGUGCUGAAAGCAUCUAAGCACGAAACUUGCCCCGAGAUGAGUUCUCCCUGAGACUUUAAGUCUCCUGAAGGAACGUUGAAGACGACGACGUUGAUAGGCCGGGUGUGUAAGCGCAGCGAUGCGUUGAGCUAACCGGUACUAAUGAACCGUGAGGCUUAACCUUACAACGCCGAAG